RNAcentral lists this unclassified non-coding RNA (278 nucleotides) under Hevea brasiliensis (rubber tree). Lineage: Eukaryota; Viridiplantae; Streptophyta; Magnoliopsida; Malpighiales; Euphorbiaceae. The record is from RNAcentral.
UGGUGAAAAGAGGUGGAGUAGUAGCAAUUGCUGCGGCUUAUAUUGCAAUUAGGAAAUUAGGAAUGUUAUUAAGGGAAGGAUCGGAUGCGGCUAGAGAGAGUGCAGUGGCGACUCUUGUUACGAUUUUUCGAAAAGGAGGAUCGGGAAAGGGGGGUGGGAGAACUAGCAGCAAUUGCUGGAAUUGAGAGAAUUAUAUGGGAAAUGAUGAGUUCAGGGACAAUGAGGUCAAGAAGAAAAGCGGCUACUCUUUUGAGGAUUCUCCGAAGAUGGGCGGCUGG